GGAGUGGAUGGCAAGGCUCAGGGCAUUUGCCAGCAGUGGGGUUUGGCCUUCAGAUGCUGGAAAUAGACCAGCCCCAAGGCAGAAGAAAUGGCAUGAUCUUUAUCAGAAGAUAGAAAAAUGCCCCAUGCAAGCCCAAGGUCAGACCACCCUUUUUGGAGGGUCUGUGUCGUGUAAUUGCAGCUUUCACUCUGCUAAGCCUGCUCUGCAGCAUCCUCCUCCUGUGACCCAGCACUCUAUGGCUGCACCAUCUACUUCUGCUGAUACAGCUCCAGCCGCACGGUCUUUCUUGAGGGUCCCUCUGUCUUUGUCCAUG
Cyprinodon tularosa is the source of this 313-nucleotide long non-coding RNA. RefSeq lists it as uncharacterized. The transcript has 3 exons. The record is from RefSeq and is a predicted model, not a curated record. NCBI's taxonomy places the organism in Eukaryota, Metazoa, Chordata, Actinopteri, Cyprinodontiformes, Cyprinodontidae.